RNAcentral lists this ribosomal RNA (387 nucleotides) under uncultured bacterium. Its description in RNAcentral is "bacterial SSU rRNA". It matches the Rfam family "Bacterial small subunit ribosomal RNA", at positions 370 to 772 of the family's 1533-position model. The record is from RNAcentral.
AAUGGGGGAAACCCUGACCCAGCAACGCCGCGUGAAGGAAGAAGGUUUUCGGAUUGUAAACUUCUGUCCUUGGUGAAGAGAAGAAGACGGUACCAAAAGAGGAAGCCACGGCUAACUACGUGCCAGCAGCCGCGGUAAUACGUAGGUGGCGAGCGUUGUCCGGAAUUACUGGGCGUAAAGGGCGCGUAGGCGGCCUGUUAAGUCAGAUGUGAAACCCCCAGGCUCAACUUGGGGAUUGCAUAUGAAACUGAUGGGCUCGAGUGUCGGAGAGGAAAGCGGAAUUCCUAGUGUAGCGGUGAAAUGCGUAGAUAUUAGGAGGAACACCAGUGGCGAAGGCGGCUUUCUGGACGAUAACUGACGCUGAGGCGCGAAAGCGUGGGGAGCAAA